GGCUGGUCUGAAGAUACUGAAUUAUCUUAAUUGAUUGUUCACAGUUCAUUUUGUACUCUUUUUUCUACUCUUUCCCUCCUCACUACUGCACUUGACUAAUUUUAA
Callithrix jacchus (white-tufted-ear marmoset) is the source of this 105-nucleotide Y RNA. It matches the Rfam family "Y RNA". Rfam says of the family: Y RNAs are components of the Ro ribonucleoprotein particle (Ro RNP), in association with Ro60 and La proteins. The Y RNAs and Ro60 and La proteins are well conserved, but the function of the Ro RNP is not known. In humans the RNA component can be one of four small RNAs -- hY1, hY3, hY4 and hY5. The record is from Ensembl. NCBI's taxonomy places the organism in Eukaryota, Metazoa, Chordata, Mammalia, Primates, Cebidae.